UACGUAGGUGGCGAGCGUUAUCCGGAAUUACUGGGUGUAAAGGGCGUGUAGGCGGAUGAACAAGUCUGAUGUGAAAUUUUGCGGCUUAACUGCAAGCUGUCAUUAGAAACUGUACAUCUUGAGUGUCAGAGGGGAAAGUGGAAUUCCUAGUGGAGCGGUAAAAUGCGUAGAUAUUAGGAGGAACACCGGUGGCGAAGGCGACUUUCUGGCUGACAACUGACGCUGAGGCGCGAAAGCGUGGGGAGGCAAACAGGAUUAGAUACCCCCGUACGU
RNAcentral lists this ribosomal RNA (273 nucleotides) under uncultured prokaryote. Its description in RNAcentral is "partial 16S ribosomal RNA". It matches the Rfam family "Bacterial small subunit ribosomal RNA", at positions 524 to 794 of the family's 1533-position model. The record is from RNAcentral.